Molecule: unclassified non-coding RNA, 635 nt
Filed under: Hevea brasiliensis (rubber tree)
Lineage: Eukaryota; Viridiplantae; Streptophyta; Magnoliopsida; Malpighiales; Euphorbiaceae
Source: RNAcentral
AUCUUUUUUUUUUUUUUUUAAGAAAAAGGAUAUUUCAUUAGAUCAAAUAUGAUUACAAGACCCAAGCCACUAAACAAUAAUGCCGCAUAAAACUCCAACUCAAGCCCAGAAAUAGGCCUAAACCCUGAUAAUCAUGGAUCUCUAGGCUAAAACGGGUAGGACCUGGAGAACCAAGCUUCAUUGAUGCCGACUUCACCUUCACCAGCAAACCCUUCACUAGUCUUCCAAGGGAAAUUGACAGGAUCUUGAACAUCUAACAUGUAGAGGAAGAUUAUCAAUAGUAGAGGGAGAUCAGAACACCUCACUCAAACACAGAUGUCGUCCCUGCACAACACAUGCACUCCUAGAGGAGAUGGAGAAAAUGCAGCAAACCAGAGAAAAACCUAGGACUAGGGCCAGUGCUGGAUGAACUCGAGAAAGGUCAUGGCAACAAUGAUCGGAUCGGUACCCACCUCUGAAUCUGCCAACCAAUGCUUGCUCUGAGAAGCUUCAUAGCAAGCACCAAGGGAAGCAACAUUUAACAAACAGAGCUUCCUCACAACAACCUAACAAAACCCAAUCCAAAAGAGGGGUAUUAGGAUUCCGUAGUGGAAGACUUUGAAAAACUAGAAAGAAAACAAAAGAAAAUAGCUAAG